Molecule: ribosomal RNA, 382 nt
Filed under: uncultured eukaryote
Lineage: Eukaryota
Description: partial 18S ribosomal RNA
Rfam family: Eukaryotic small subunit ribosomal RNA
Source: RNAcentral
CAAUAGCGUAUAUUAAAAUUGUUGCAGUUAAAAAGCUCGUAGUUGGACUUCUGCGGGUGGCGGCCGGUCGUGCUCGAAACGGGCGUGAACUUGGCGUGCUGCCCGCAUCUUUGGGGAGAUUGUGCGUGGCAUUAAGUUGUCGUGCAUGGGAUUCUCAUCAUUUACUGUGAAAAAAUUAGAGUGUUUAAAGCAGGCCUUUGCCUUGAAUACAUUAGCAUGGAAUAAUAAGAUAGGACCGUUGUCUAUUUUGUUGGUUUACAGAUGUCGGUAAUGAUUAAUAGGGAUAGUUGGGGGUAUUCGUAUUCAGUUGUCAGAGGUGAAAUUCUUGGAUUUUCGGAAGACGCACGACUGCGAAAGCAUUUACCAAGGAUGUUUUCAUUAA